AAAAGUAUACAUUAUAGUAAAAUCAAUACAUUUUUCAUCACUUGUUAAAAAUGAUUUCUCGACUUUUUUCUCGGUAAGCUAUAUUGUGGUCAAAAUAUCAAUGGUCACAAACUUAAAAAUGUGUAGGUAUAUUAAUAUAGUUUGAUAGAAACAUAAUAUUAUUGUGUGUUUGUGUGCAAGGCGACAUUUAGGAUUCGAAGUCUAAAGAAAUCAAGAAAUUAUGAAUAAACACGAAACUCAGUUGUAUAUUUACAUACAGGGUGUCCCACGAAGAUAUUUUACAUUCUUUCUGACUGGGGUACCACCCUAGUUAGAUAUCCUUUCAGAAAAAGGUGCUGUAAUUGAAAAUUGAGCAAAAUUACUAGUAGAAUA
Cinara cedri is the source of this 372-nucleotide non-coding RNA. The record is from the annotation of a GenBank genome assembly. Lineage: Eukaryota; Metazoa; Arthropoda; Insecta; Hemiptera; Aphididae.